ACGGCCGUACCAUGCUGAAUAUACCGGUUCUCGUUAGAUCACCGAAGUCAAGCAUCAUUGGGUGGGUGACCACCUGGGAACACCGCGUGCCGUU
Molecule: non-coding RNA, 94 nt
Organism: Caerostris darwini
Lineage: Eukaryota; Metazoa; Arthropoda; Arachnida; Araneae; Araneidae
Source: the annotation of a GenBank genome assembly